UACUGCUCAGUAACACGUGGACAACCUGCCCUUAGGACGGGGAUAAACCCGGGAAACUGGGUAUAAUACCCGAUAGGUCUCGAUUGCUGGAAUGCAUCGAGAUUUAAAGCUCCGGCGCCUAAGGAUGGGUCUGCGGCCUAUCAGGUAGUAGUGGGUGUAGCGUACCUACUAGCCUACGACGGGUACGGGUUGUGAGAGCAAGAGCCCGGAGAUGGAUUCUGAGACACGAAUCCAGGCCCUACGGGGUGCAGCAGGCGCGAAAACUUUACAAUGCUGGCAACAGCGAUAAGGGAACCUCGAGUGCCAGGUUACAAAUCUGGCUGUCGAGAUGCCUAAAAAGCAUUUCAUAGCAAGGGCCGGGCAAGACCGGUGCCAGCAGCCGCGGUAAUACGAUAAUCA
RNAcentral lists this ribosomal RNA (399 nucleotides) under uncultured archaeon. RNAcentral describes it as "bacterial SSU rRNA". It matches the Rfam family "Archaeal small subunit ribosomal RNA", at positions 84 to 486 of the family's 1478-position model. The record is from RNAcentral.